Molecule: ribosomal RNA, 468 nt
Filed under: uncultured bacterium
Lineage: Bacteria
Description: partial 16S ribosomal RNA
Rfam family: Bacterial small subunit ribosomal RNA
Source: RNAcentral
GACGAACGCUGGCGGCGUGCUUAACACAUGCAAGUCGAACGGAAAGGCCCUGCUUUUGUGGGGUGCUCGAGUGGCGAACGGGUGAGUAACACGUGAGUAACCUGCCCUUGACUUUGGGAUAACUUCAGGAAACUGGGGCUAAUACCGGAUAGGAGCUCCUGCUGCAUGGUGGGGGUUGGAAAGUUUCGGCGGUUGGGGAUGGACUCGCGGCUUAUCAGCUUGUUGGUGGGGUAGUGGCUUACCAAGGCUUUGACGGGUAGCCGGCCUGAGAGGGUGACCGGCCACAUUGGGACUGAGAUACGGCCCAGACUCCUACGGGAGGCAGCAGUGGGAAAUAUGGCACAAUGGGCGGAAGCCUGAGGCAGCAACGCCGCGGGCGGGAUGACGGCCUUCGGGUUGUAAACCGCUUUCGCCUGUGACGAAGCGUGAGUGACGGUAAUGGGUAAAGAAGCACCGGCUAACUACGUG